This 547-nucleotide unclassified non-coding RNA is filed under the name Hevea brasiliensis (rubber tree). The record is from RNAcentral. Lineage: Eukaryota; Viridiplantae; Streptophyta; Magnoliopsida; Malpighiales; Euphorbiaceae.
CAGAAGAAAAGAGAAGAGGCAGAGCAGAAGAGGCUUGCAGCUGAAAUUGAGCAAAGGAAGAACCAAAGGAUCCUCCAGGAAAUAGAGCAGCGAGAACUUGAAGAAGCACAGGCUUUGCUUGAGGAUGUUGACAAGCGAAGUAAACGGAAGGGGGGAAAGAAGCCAAUUUUAGAAGGAGAGAAAGUGACAAAGCAAACUAUAAUGGAAAGGGCUUUGAGUGAGCAGCUCAGAGAGAGGCAGGAAAUGGAGAAGAAAUUACAAAAAUUAGCUAAAACAAUGGAUUAUUUGGAAAGAGCAAAGAGAGAAGAAGCAGCUCCAUUGAUUGAGGCUGCUUUCCAACGACGAUUGGUAGAAGAGAAGGCCCUUAAUGAACGUGAGCAGCAGCUAGAGAUUGAAGUAAGCAGGCAGCGCCAUGAUGGGGACCUCAGGGAGAAGAAUAGGUUGUCUCGGAUGCUGGACAACAAGAUGAUAUUCCAGGUAAGAGUGAUCAGCCGGCGACAAACUGAGUUUGACCGGCUUAGAGCAGAGAGGGAAGAAAGAAUCAAUC